GACGAACGCUGGCGGCGUGCUUAACACAUGCAAGUCGAACGGAAAGGCCCUGCUUUUGUGGGGUGCUCGAGUGGCGAACGGGUGAGUAACACGUGAGUAACCUGCCCUUGACUUUGGGAUAACUUCAGGAAACUGGGGCUAAUACCGGAUAGGAGCUCCUGCUGCAUGGUGGGGGUUGGAAAGUUUCGGCGGUUGGGGAUGGACUCGCGGCUUAUCAGCUUGUUGGUGGGGUAGUGGCUUACCAAGGCUUUGACGGGUAGCCGGCCUGAGAGGGUGACCGGCCAAAUGGGGACUGAGAUACGGCCCAGACCCCUACGGGAGGCAGCGGUGGGGAAUAUUGAACAAGGGGCGGAAGCCUGAUGCAGCAACGCCGCGUGCGGGAUGACGGCCUUCGGGUUGUAAACCGCUUUCGCCUGUGACGAAGCGUGAGUGACGGUAAUGGGUAAAGAAGCACCGGCUAACUACGU
RNAcentral lists this ribosomal RNA (467 nucleotides) under uncultured bacterium. RNAcentral describes it as "partial 16S ribosomal RNA". It matches the Rfam family "Bacterial small subunit ribosomal RNA", at positions 28 to 506 of the family's 1533-position model. The record is from RNAcentral.